GGUUAAGCGACUAAGCGUACACGGUGGAUGCCCUGGCAGUCAGAGGCGAUGAAGGACGUGCUAAUCUGCGAUAAGCGUCGGUAAGGUGAUAUGAACCGUUAUAACCGGCGAUUUCCGAAUGGGGAAACCCAGUGUGUUUCGACACACUAUCAUUAACUGAAUCCAUAGGUUAAUGAGGCGAACCGGGGGAACUGAAACAUCUAAGUACCCCGAGGAAAAGAAAUCAACCGAGAUUCCCCCAGUAGCGGCGAGCGAACGGGGAGCAGCCCAGAGCCUGAAUCAGUGUGUGUGUUAGUGGAAGCGUCUGGAAAGGCGCGCGAUACAGGGUGACAGCCCCGUACACAAAAAUGCACAUACUGUGAGCUCGAUGAGUAGGGCGGGACACGUGGUAUCCUGUCUGAAUAUGGGGGGACCAUCCUCCAAGGCUAAAUACUCCUGACUGACCGAUAGUGAACCAGUACCGUGAGGGAAAGGCGAAAAGAACCCCGGCGAGGGGAGUGAAAAAGAACCUGAAACCGUGUACGUACAAGCAGUGGGAGCACGCUUAGGCGUGUGACUGCGUACCUUUUGUAUAAUGGGUCAGCGACUUAUAUUCUGUAGCAAGGUUAACCGAAUAGGGGAGCCGAAGGGAAACCGAGUCUUAACUGGGCGUUAAGUUGCAGGGUAUAGACCCGAAACCCGGUGAUCUAGCCAUGGGCAGGUUGAAGGUUGGGUAACACUAACUGGAGGACCGAACCGACUAAUGUUGAAAAAUUAGCGGAUGACUUGUGGCUGGGGGUGAAAGGCCAAUCAAACCGGGAGAUAGCUGGUUCUCCCCGAAAGCUAUUUAGGUAGCGCCUCGUGAAUUCAUCUCCGGGGGUAGAGCACUGUUUCGGCAAGGGGGUCAUCCCGACUUACCAACCCGAUGCAAACUGCGAAUACCGGAGAAUGUUAUCACGGGAGACACACGGCGGGUGCUAACGUCCGUCGUGAAGAGGGAAACAACCCAGACCGCCAGCUAAGGUCCCAAAGUCAUGGUUAAGUGGGAAACGAUGUGGGAAGGCCCAGACAGCCAGGAUGUUGGCUUAGAAGCAGCCAUCAUUUAAAGAAAGCGUAAUAGCUCACUGGUCGAGUCGGCCUGCGCGGAAGAUGUAACGGGGCUAAACCAUGCACCGAAGCUGCGGCAGCGACGCUUAUGCGUUGUUGGGUAGGGGAGCGUUCUGUAAGCCUGUGAAGGUGUGCUGUGAGGCAUGCUGGAGGUAUCAGAAGUGCGAAUGCUGACAUAAGUAACGAUAAAGCGGGUGAAAAGCCCGCUCGCCGGAAGACCAAGGGUUCCUGUCCAACGUUAAUCGGGGCAGGGUGAGUCGACCCCUAAGGCGAGGCCGAAAGGCGUAGUCGAUGGGAAACAGGUUAAUAUUCCUGUACUUGGUGUUACUGCGAAGGGGGGACGGAGAAGGCUAUGUUGGCCGGGCGACGGUUGUCCCGGUUUAAGCGUGUAGGCUGGUUUUCCAGGCAAAUCCGGAAAAUCAAGGCUGAGGCGUGAUGACGAGGCACUACGGUGCUGAAGCAACAAAUGCCCUGCUUCCAGGAAAAGCCUCUAAGCAUCAGGUAACAUCAAAUCGUACCCCAAACCGACACAGGUGGUCAGGUAGAGAAUACCAAGGCGCUUGAGAGAACUCGGGUGAAGGAACUAGGCAAAAUGGUGCCGUAACUUCGGGAGAAGGCACGCUGAUAUGUAGGUGAAGUCCCUCGCGGAUGGAGCUGAAAUCAGUCGAAGAUACCAGCUGGCUGCAACUGUUUAUUAAAAACACAGCACUGUGCAAACACGAAAGUGGACGUAUACGGUGUGACGCCUGCCCGGUGCCGGAAGGUUAAUUGAUGGGGUCAGCGCAAGCGAAGCUCUUGAUCGAAGCCCCGGUAAACGGCGGCCGUAACUAUAACGGUCCUAAGGUAGCGAAAUUCCUUGUCGGGUAAGUUCCGACCUGCACGAAUGGCGUAAUGAUGGCCAGGCUGUCUCCACCCGAGACUCAGUGAAAUUGAACUCGCUGUGAAGAUGCAGUGUACCCGCGGCAAGACGGAAAGACCCCGUGAACCUUUACUAUAGCUUGACACUGAACAUUGAGCCUUGAUGUGUAGGAUAGGUGGGAGGCUUAGAAGUGUGGACGCCAGUCUGCAUGGAGCCGACCUUGAAAUACCACCCUUUAAUGUUUGAUGUUCUAACGUUGACCCGUAAUCCGGGUUGCGGACAGUGUCUGGUGGGUAGUUUGACUGGGGCGGUCUCCUCCUAAAGAGUAACGGAGGAGCACGAAGGUUGGCUAAUCCUGGUCGGACAUCAGGAGGUUAGUGCAAUGGCAUAAGCCAGCUUGACUGCGAGCGUGACGGCGCGAGCAGGUGCGAAAGCAGGUCAUAGUGAUCCGGUGGUUCUGAAUGGAAGGGCCAUCGCUCAACGGAUAAAAGGUACUCCGGGGAUAACAGGCUGAUACCGCCCAAGAGUUCAUAUCGACGGCGGUGUUUGGCACCUCGAUGUCGGCUCAUCACAUCCUGGGGCUGAAGUAGGUCCCAAGGGUAUGGCUGUUCGCCAUUUAAAGUGGUACGCGAGCUGGGUUUAGAACGUCGUGAGACAGUUCGGUCCCUAUCUGCCGUGGGCGCUGGAGAACUGAGGGGGGCUGCUCCUAGUACGAGAGGACCGGAGUGGACGCAUCACUGGUGUUCGGGUUGUCAUGCCAAUGGCACUGCCCGGUAGCUAAAUGCGGAAGAGAUAAGUGCUGAAAGCAUCUAAGCACGAAACUUGCCCCGAGAUGAGUUCUCCCUGACUCCUUGAGAG
RNAcentral lists this ribosomal RNA (2803 nucleotides) under Escherichia coli. Its description in RNAcentral is "partial 23S ribosomal RNA". It matches the Rfam family "Bacterial large subunit ribosomal RNA". Lineage: Bacteria; Pseudomonadati; Pseudomonadota; Gammaproteobacteria; Enterobacterales; Enterobacteriaceae. The record is from RNAcentral.